The sequence is a transfer RNA, 68 nucleotides long. It matches the Rfam family "tRNA". From Rfam's summary of the family: Transfer RNA (tRNA) molecules are approximately 80 nucleotides in length.
CCUUAUAUAGCUAAUUGUGUAAGUGCCAGGUUCUUACCCUGGUGAUGUGGCUAAAGUCACUAUAAGGG